RNAcentral lists this ribosomal RNA (501 nucleotides) under uncultured bacterium. RNAcentral describes it as "partial 16S ribosomal RNA". It matches the Rfam family "Bacterial small subunit ribosomal RNA", at positions 28 to 508 of the family's 1533-position model. The record is from RNAcentral.
GACGAACGCUGGCGGCGUGCCUAAUACAUGCAAGUCGAGCGGACUGAUUAAGAGCUUGCUCUUAUGACGUUAGCGGCGGACGGGUGAGUAACACGUGGGCAACCUGCCCUGUAGAUCGGGAUAACACCGAGAAAUCGGUGCUAAUACCGGGUAAUAUCUGAGAUCACAUGAUCUUAGGUUAAAAGAUGGCUCCGGCUAUCACUACAGGAUGGGCCCGCGGCGCAUUAGCUAGUUGGUAAGGUAAUGGCUUACCAAGGCGACGAUGCGUAGCCGACCUGAGGGGGUGAUCGGCCACACUGGGACUGAGACACGGCCCAGACUCCUACGGGAGGCAGCAGUAGGGAAUCUUCCGCAAUGGACGAAAGUCUGACGGAGCAACGCCGCGUGAGUGAUGAAGGGUUUCGGCUCGUAAAGCUCUGUUGUUAGGGAAGAAACAGUACCGAACGAACUAGGUCGGUACCUUGACGGUACCUAACCAGAAAGCCACGGCUAACUACGUGC